UUUUUUUUCAAUUAGAUCGCCGUUUAGUAUUGAAGGACUUUGGAUAAAUCAAGUGUCGACAUUUGAGACUUAAAAUGGCCAGCGGUAGAAUAUCAAAGAACCUAUUUCUAAUUGAUUGGCUCUCUUCGUGACCAAGUUAAACCAAGACAGGGUGAAGUUUGUGACCUA
This is a long non-coding RNA of Mya arenaria, 168 nucleotides long. RefSeq lists it as uncharacterized. Lineage: Eukaryota; Metazoa; Mollusca; Bivalvia; Myida; Myidae. The record is from RefSeq and is a predicted model, not a curated record. The transcript is spliced from 4 exons.